GCGUGCUGCAGUGCAACUGUGCGCACGCACACGGCAUUUAUCGGCCACAUUAUGUCUGUGUACCCCUCAGGACCUUUUUAAGUACCCCUAGGGUUGACAACCACUGGGCUAUGGCAGAGAGGGACUGAAGAGUUGCUCGAGUGCUUGUGCAUAUCAUAUCUACCCAGACUCCUGCCAAUAUUUCUUCUCUCAGUCUCUGCCUACCUGACCUAUUUAGACAACAAGGCCUUCAAAGAGCCUCAGAUAAGGAACACUGUCCCUGCUGGGUCUGGCAUGUCAGCAUGCAGGAAGAUUGCCAAGGGCUCUCUCCUUCACACUGGAGCUUUGUCUUUGUGCAAGUGUCCCUGCCAGGAGUGGAUCGCUGUAUAAUUGGAAGAGCUGGAGUUACCUGUUCAUUCCUCGCUCCUCUGGGUGGAGCCAGGACCCAGAACGUUCCCACUGCAGCAGUUCUGCAGAGCGUCACCUGGAUGGAAAUUGGGAGCUAUGAACAGCUCACAACAAACUUGCCAGUGUCACAGCAUGAAUUCUCACUUGUUUCAGUCUGUUAAUUGAACAAGAGCAGGUGGUGGGACUGAGGAGCUCUCAUUCAGUGACCUGGAGACCAGGCUCACAGCUGGUUUAAACACUGAAAGUUUGCAUUUGCAGAGUAGGCGGCUAGGAGAGCAUUAUUUCCUCUUUCCAUGCAGGCAGCGGAAGACAUUUGCAUUCUCUUUCUGAGAUUCUCAGCACUUCCCCACCCAGAUCACUCCAUUGCUUUGGAUACAGAGGUGGAUGGCCUUGUUCAGUCUUUUCAAUGGGUAUCUGUUGUACUUCUCUCCAUGCUUCUCCCUGCUCCCUCAAGAAGAUCUGAAGAGACUUUGGACUUUAUGCUGGGUUCCUAGUAGGGCCUUGAGACAGUCUGUCUGAGGACUGUCUGACUGAGAACUUACCCAAGCCAAUAUCCCUGAAUCCAUAACAGUGAUAUGGGUUAGCUACAAAAUUCAGAAACAAAUCCCACUCCAGGCUACUUCAAAUCUUGAAGCCAACUCUUACCAGCUCACUGUAAACCUCAUGAAAGUUGGCAUUUCCCUUAAAGCUGAGGUUAUGAGAAUCUCACCUUUAGAAAAAAAAUAUCGUAGCGCUCAUACUGCAGGAAAGGGCCAGAAGAUGUCCCCCAAGUACAACCCCAGGCCCACAAAAUGGAAAACAAAACAAAAACCCUCACAUUUUUGAAGCAUCAGGAUUUAAAUCAACUUUGAUUUCGCAAGACCUGGGCCCAAGGAUUUUGGAUGCAUUCAUUUGCUCCAACAAGUCACUUCAGCCAGCAUUCACAGCACUUCAGUUUUCAUCAUAAGGUAAAAGUAAACAUCUUAAAUCAGUCAGUGUGUACUACAGUAUAUUUGUACUACAAUUUUUCCUGUUUUGAUACACUAUACUUUCAGUUUGGAUAUGUAACUACAGGAUAAGCUGGAGCAACCUUUCCUGUCUACAAGGUGGGGAAAGCUAGACUGUUCUUCAACUUAAUGUUGAAGGUUACACCUUGCUUAAUCAGUGCUGGAACACAGCACCAGGGAAAUGAAACCACAUGCAGUCCUCCUACAAGAAACACACAUAGAGCAGCUGCAGAAGAUGAAGUUCUCAGGCUACAGCCUUGCAGACUCUGUAGCCAGCAGGAUUCAUGGCCCUGUUACCAUCAUCAGAAAUGACCUACCAUACACUACCAAGGGACAUAACACUUCCCAGAGUGCAACAGAAUGGAACAGUGUCCAGGUUAAUGAUAUAAUUAUUGUCAACGUAUACAAGCCGCCAUCUGCCUUGUUGUCAAUCACAUCCCUGCCUAUUUCUGACCAGACAGCCUUACUUGCAGGUGACGUCAGCUCUCAACAUCAAAAUUGGGGAAACUCCAUUAACAGUAGAAACAGAGGCAAUAAUCUUUGUCUCUGGGCAAGCCUGAAUGAUAUAACCAUCAUAUAUGACCCAAAGGAGCCACGUACCUUCCACUCUGCAUGAUGGAACAUUCAACCAAACCUAGACCUUGCCUGGUCAAUGGUGAUUUGAGUAAAACACCAAGUACGUGGCAAGUUUCCACCAGCUCAGCACAGGCCCUCACUCAUUAGCACUGACAAUAUGACUUUUCAGCCCACACCACCAGACCAACUCCACGAUGGAACUUCUGGAAGGCGGGCUGGCAGAAAUAUUAAAGGUUGACCAACAAGAGAGCAAAUCAAUUAGAGCAUAGUUUUUCAACCUGUGGUACAUGUACCCCUGGGGGUACGUGAGACACAGGCAGGCAGGACGCAGGCGCAGAAAACCCCUGC
Long non-coding RNA from Alligator mississippiensis (American alligator), 2297 nucleotides. RefSeq lists it as uncharacterized. The transcript is spliced from 3 exons. The record is from RefSeq and is a predicted model, not a curated record. NCBI's taxonomy places the organism in Eukaryota, Metazoa, Chordata, Crocodylia, Alligatoridae.